Molecule: non-coding RNA, 366 nt
Organism: Chrysochloris asiatica (Cape golden mole)
Lineage: Eukaryota; Metazoa; Chordata; Mammalia; Afrosoricida; Chrysochloridae
Source: the annotation of a RefSeq genome assembly
AUGGAAGGCCCAGCUUUGCUUCUCUGCCUGCUAGUGUUCUGGCUCCCAGAUACCAUGGGAGACGUUGUGAUGACUCAGUUCCCAGCCUCUCUAUCUUUGUCUCCUGGUCAAAGAUCUUUCUUCACCUGCAAAUCCAGUCAGGAUGUUGGUGACAAUGUAGCCUGGUAUCAGCAGAAACCUGGGCAGGCUCCCAGGCUUCUCGUCUAUGAGGUAUCCAGCAUGGCCAGCGGCAUCCCAGGCCGAUUCAGUGGGAGUGGGUAUAGACAAGCCUACAAUCUUAUUAUCAGCAGUGUGGAAGCUGAAGAUGUUGGAACUUAUUACUGUCAGCAGUAUGAGGAAUACCCUCCCACAGUGUUACAUGCUUGA